Molecule: long non-coding RNA, 1799 nt
Filed under: Carica papaya (papaya)
Lineage: Eukaryota; Viridiplantae; Streptophyta; Magnoliopsida; Brassicales; Caricaceae
Description: long non-coding RNA (CPAP_LNC008759)
Source: RNAcentral
CGAAAGCCAAAGAAAGCAUAAAAAAGGCUUCCUCCUUGCCUUGGGACGUCGGAGAACCAGAAACUUCAUGAAGCUCCUACCUUUUGUUCUGCAACAGUGACGAGGAAACCCGAAUAGAUGUUUUGUAUCAGUAAGUUUUCUCCUUUUCUCCAUAUUUCUGCAACAAACACACGUUCAGGAAGAUUUUUUUUAAAAAAACCCAACCUCAACAGACCUGCAAGUAAUCUUCUCUCUUGAACUCAAUUUACCUGCUUGAGAAAAUCAAAUAUUGGUAGUCAUUAGCCUAGGGCCUGCUUAACUUUCAUUUCCUACAACCUUAUAUGUAUAUAUGUGUUUUAGAUUAAUCUAAUUAUAAACUAUAUCAUGAAAUAAGAUUACUUUUCAUAACAAUACAUACAUGUGUGUGUGUGUGUGUGUGUGUAUAUACACAACACAUAUGCUCAUUCAGAUAAUUACAUAUGACCAGCAAGAAAAUAUUACAUGGAUUUAAAGAGUCCUUGAAGCAUUUUGUCAAGCACAUUAUGAGCAGCCUCUGUAUACUCUUCAUUGACAACAAACUGCAGCCUGUACAUCUCUGUAAAUUAACUAAACAACACCAAUUAUCACCAAUAGGAUUAAAAUGCAAAUAAAAGUUAAACAUGAAAUUAAAUGUAAAAAUAACAAUAUAGUAAGAAUAUAUUAUUUGAUGGAUCAUACAUAAAAAUGACCUUCGAAAUUGGUAGUCUUUAUGCAUUUAAGAAAAAUUAAAAUGCAUAUUUUACAAAAUUAAUCGAUUAUGAAAUAUAAUUGGGUUAAACAUCAACCUAUUUUCUCACAUAAUCCACCAUUUUUAAACAUGAAUGAAGGUAUCCAAUAUAUUGGGAAGCUCAAUACAGUCUAGAACAAUUGCCUAGAACCAUACAAUUCAUGUAUAUGCACUUGCUUUACCUCAAGAGACCUUUAGUUUGGAGGAACUAACUAAUAAAUGCAAGAAGUCAAGAUCUUUGUGUGUGACUAGAAAUUCUAUAUAAAUUGGUGUAACCAUGUUCAAGUACCAAAGCCAAAACAGACAAAUUCAUUUCUCCAUUUUCCUUUAAACACAACUGUGCAUAAACCUAUCUAUUGCCAUGAAUUUGUUUCCUUUUUAAGUCAAGAAGUACCAAGAAAGGAAUGCCUUGAACACUACAUUCCUUUUCUCAAUCUUUCAAAUAAUAAUCCAUUUGGUAUUUGCAAAAACAAUACAUAUCAAUACAAUUAAAGCAAAAAUAAUAACAUGUAGAGCACAUCAUGACCAGCAAGAAAAUAUUACAUGGAUUUAAAGAGUCUUUGAAGCAUUUUGUCGAGCACAUUAUGAGCAGCCUUCAUAUACUCUUCAUUGUCAACAACCGACAGGCACCUAUACAUAUAUCUAAAUUAACAAAACAACACAAAUUAGGAAGUAAAAUAAAAACAAAACGGUAAGCAUGGGAAUUAAAUGUUAAAACAACAACACAGCGAGAAUAUAUUAUUUGAUUAAUCCUAUAUAAAAAUCACACUUUCUAAAUUGACAGCCUUCUGUAAAAAAUAAAAAAUGUGUACGUUACCAAAUUCAUCAAUUAUGAAAUAUGAUCUGGGCUAAAGAUUCACCUAUUUUCUCACCCCAAGAUCCGGAUUCUUGAAUCUUUCCUUGAUGCAGGUUCAGUCGUGUUGCAGAAAUAAAGAGGAAAAUUCAGGUUUGCAGAUUGAAGAAGCUUCAGAUUGAGGAAGCUUCAAAAAAGAGGAAAUGAGAAAUGUGGAAGCUUAUUGAACAGAAGCUUCAGGUUCUGCAAGAUGCGUUGCGG